Molecule: long non-coding RNA, 281 nt
Organism: Astyanax mexicanus (Mexican tetra)
Lineage: Eukaryota; Metazoa; Chordata; Actinopteri; Characiformes; Acestrorhamphidae
Exons: 3
Source: RefSeq, a predicted model, not a curated record
GUGGAACGAUCUAGCUAGCUAGUUUAGCUAAUAUCAACUAUAUAUCAGUGUCGAAUGUUUCAGCUAGCUAGGUUAGCUAAUGUUAACUACUCUAUUUCAGUGUGGAAUGUUUUAGCUAGCUAGGCUAGCUAAUGUUAACUACAUUAUUUCAGUGUGGAAUGUUUUAGCUAGCUAGGCUAGCUAAUGUUAACUACAUUAUUUCAGUGUGUAAUGUUUCAGCUAGCAACUUUAGGUAAUUUGAACUACUUUAUUUCAGUGUGGAAUCUUUAUAGCUAGCUAGG